GAUCAUAGCUAAAAUGUAAAAUAGCUUUUUAAUUUCAAUGUUGUUUUUCUUCUUUUUCCAAUUGGUUGGGUAUUAAAGCCCAAUUUGAGUCUCCCUUCUAGGCAACUCUGGUUUUCAGAAGCCAACACCUCUCAGUGACAGGUAGAGAAGGGAAGUUACAUAUAAAAAGUAAUAAAAGUCAAACCCACCCACACCUACAGAACAGCUCAACCUAGUAAAGAAAUAAAUGCCAGGAGUGACGUGAUGCCCUUAAAUGAGCCUGGUUUGAUUACAAGUCAUAAAGAGAAUAGAAUUCAAAAUAUGGACAGCCCAGGAGGAAUGACACUGGACUGAGGAGCCAAAAAUAGCAAGCAACUCAAGUCUACAUUAACAGCCUCACAGUCUCAAAGGUACCCUGGCCAAAUGUAUUUCCUCAUCCUAUCUCCACCAGGCC
This 433-nucleotide long non-coding RNA is filed under the name Bos taurus (domestic cattle). RNAcentral's name for it is "long non-coding RNA NONBTAT023221". Lineage: Eukaryota; Metazoa; Chordata; Mammalia; Artiodactyla; Bovidae. The record is from RNAcentral.